This is a long non-coding RNA of Passer domesticus (house sparrow), 729 nucleotides long. RefSeq lists it as uncharacterized. The transcript has 3 exons. The record is from RefSeq and is a predicted model, not a curated record. NCBI's taxonomy places the organism in Eukaryota, Metazoa, Chordata, Aves, Passeriformes, Passeridae.
AGGACCCUCACAUCCCUUUCUGCUGCAUUGUUUUCCAGCAUCUCAUUCCCCAGUCUGUACAUACAUCCAGGGUAACCCCAUCCCAGAACCUCCCUGCCUUUGAAGGAGUCAACAGCUCCUCCCUUUCCAUCAUCUGCAAACUUGCUCAGUCCCUUCCAGUCCUGUAUCCAAGCCAAUUAUGAAGAUGUUAGAGAGCACAGGGCCAAGGAUGGAGCCCUGUGGAACCCCACUAGUGACAGCUGUGUUGGACAUCUUGUCCAGAAGGAUCCUGUGAACAACAGUAUCAAAAGUGCUACUGAAAUCCAAAAAGAUUGCAUCAACUGGCUUCCCUUGAUCCGCUAGGUGGGUUACCUUGUCAUAAAAGGAAAUCAGAUUUGACAGAUUUGAAGAUGGGAAGCUUCCAGGUGACCUACAGCCAGUUAAAUUCACAACACACAAAGACCUCACUUCACCAGCUCCUUCUGAAGAGAGAAAAAAAAUCAGAGAGAGAAGGUGGGCCCCUUUAACAGACAGAUAUAAUUAACCAGUCCCACAAUUUAUCAAAGUUUCUCAGGCAUUUCCAACCAUGGCAAUUUUAAAUCAAGGUUGGAUGCUUUAUUUCUGAAAUAAAUGCUCUUGUUCAAACAAGAAUUAUUUCAGGGAAGGUUGAUAGUAUAUGUUGUAAGACAAGGUCAGACUAGAUUAUCACAGUAUUCCCUUCUGGCAUUAUAAUCUAUGAAUCUAUAAAAG